UACGUAGGUGGCAAGCGUUAUCCGGAAUUAUUGGGCGUAAAGAGCGCGCAGGUGGUUAAUUAAGUCUGAUGUGAAAGCCCACGGCUUAACCGUGGAGGGUCAUUGGAAACUGGUUGACUUGAGUGUAGAAGAGGGAAGUGGAAUUCCAUGUGUAGCGGUGAAAUGCGUAGAGAUAUGGAGGAACACCAGUGGCGAAGGCGGCUUCCUGGCCUGCAACUGACACUGAGGCGCGAAAGCGUGGGGAGCAAACAGG
RNAcentral lists this ribosomal RNA (253 nucleotides) under uncultured bacterium. RNAcentral's name for it is "partial 16S ribosomal RNA". It matches the Rfam family "Bacterial small subunit ribosomal RNA", at positions 524 to 776 of the family's 1533-position model. The record is from RNAcentral.